Petromyzon marinus (sea lamprey) is the source of this 1135-nucleotide non-coding RNA. NCBI's taxonomy places the organism in Eukaryota, Metazoa, Chordata, Hyperoartia, Petromyzontiformes, Petromyzontidae. The record is from RefSeq and is a predicted model, not a curated record.
CCCCCCAUCUCCACCGCCACCACCUCCAUCCACCACCGCGGCUCUUUGUUAGCGGGGCCGUGCAGUGGAUGGAGCCUGACCCCCCCGGUGCCGUGAGCAGGCUUGAGCCGAUGUAAUAGCGCACUGCGCUAUCAAGCACGAGCCCCGGCCAGCCCCUGGCUUCCAUUGCUGCUGCUGCUGCUGCUACACGCGAUGAUAGGCGGGGACGCACGGAGGGGAGGGGUGAAAUGUUGCGACGCGAGCUGACAAACAGCGGUUGCAUCAAUCUGCAAACCGGCUCUCGCCUAGGUCUACUCGGCCUGCAAAUGAAUGCGUGGUGUGGUGAUGUUGUUGAUGGUGGUUGCUGUUUGCUAGCCGCUGUGUGCUAUGCAGACAAAAGGCAAAGAAAAAAAAUGGGGGCCCGGGGCGUGGUGCUGUUCAGAGGCGCCUCUUUGUCUAUCGCACUGCCCUUAAUAGGCGCUCGCCGAUGGCACCCCGCACACAACGUUGUCCCGUGUGUACGAUUCAAACAUUAUUAUGACGAUCUUUGUCGUCUAGGCACGCGAGCACUGCCGCUGAAGAGACUUGUCAGCCGCGAUAAAAAAAAAAUAUAUUUUAUCCACGAUCCCCGUGAACAUCAACAAUAUGACCAUCGGUUAUCAUCGGAGCGCGGACACCCCCUAGGUCGACUCAACCUCAAAUGUUGGUACGUGACGUACCUCCCGGGUGUCGUGGAUGCUGGACACGUGGCUCGUGGCUUGGCCGCUACGCAGCACAGUCUGCCUGUCCAUGGCCGUGCCGUAGGCGUCCUGCUCCUGGCUUCCCCUGUACAGCAGCUCCUGGAGACCUUCGGCGCGCAGUCCAAACUGCAAGGGCGGAUGGGCGGGAGGGUGGCAGAGGAGCAACGCAAAACAAAGUUGGGUGGCCCACAGGACGGGUGAGGAACGGGCAGAGAAAAAAAAUGGUCGAGGCUGCUGACACAAAUCAAUUAACAGUCUGGGUCUGCGCGUCGAGUCAAGGUUGGGCUCACGACGGAGGCGCACGGCGACCAUGCUGACCAGCGCCACGGACGGCUUCGACUCGAAGAAGACGAUGCAAGAGCGGAUCCGGAGCUCCGACUUGAUGGCCUCGUUCAGGAAGAUGGGCAGCACGAUCU